Molecule: transfer RNA, 63 nt
Filed under: Vargula tsujii
Lineage: Eukaryota; Metazoa; Arthropoda; Ostracoda; Myodocopida; Cypridinidae
Description: tRNA-Asp
Source: RNAcentral
AGAUAAUUAGUUAAUUAUAAUAUGACUUUGUCAAAGUCAAGUUGCCCAUUUAGGUAUUAUCUU